RNAcentral lists this ribosomal RNA (253 nucleotides) under uncultured bacterium. RNAcentral's name for it is "partial 16S ribosomal RNA". It matches the Rfam family "Bacterial small subunit ribosomal RNA", at positions 524 to 776 of the family's 1533-position model. The record is from RNAcentral.
UACGGAGGGGGCUAGCGUUGUUCGGAAUUACUGGGCGUAAAGCGCACGUAGGCGGACUAGUAAGUAAGAGGUGAAAUCCCAGAGCUCAACUUUGGAACUGCCUUUUAAACUGCUAGUCUUGAGUUCGAGAGAGGUGAGUGGAAUUCCGAGUGUAGAGGUGAAAUUCGUAGAUAUUCGGAGGAACACCAGUGGCGAAGGCGGCUCACUGGCUCGAUACUGACGCUGAGGUGCGAAAGCAUGGGGAGCAAACAGG